RNAcentral lists this long non-coding RNA (1043 nucleotides) under Panax ginseng (ginseng). RNAcentral describes it as "long non-coding RNA (PGIN_LNC009456)". Lineage: Eukaryota; Viridiplantae; Streptophyta; Magnoliopsida; Apiales; Araliaceae. The record is from RNAcentral.
CUAGCUAGCUAGUACAAGAUUUAUUGCAUAUUUCCGUCCAUUAAUUAUUACUAAUUAAAUAAAUAACCACAUAUCUCACACUAAUAGAUUAAUAUAUCAAACCCAUGCAUAUUACAAAUAUAUAUAUAUAACAACCAAGUAAUCUUCUCAAUCCAUCUCGUGUGCUUGUCAUUGUUUGGUAAUUAUAUAUUUUCAGGCGACAACUAGAUCAAAGGAGCAGGUUGCCGUUGAUGUUUACUUCAGCUUCUGUUCUUGCAUUUCUCCAUGGCUCUUGGAGCUGAAAUUAAUAUUCCAUUAAUAAAUUAAAGAUGAUCAAUUAAUCUAUAUAUCUAAAUAAUUUCACAAGUUUAAUUUGAUAUAUAUACUACAGACUAGACUACUAUAAAUACUUACGUACCUAGUCCAAUUGCUUCAGUUCCUUUCAUUAUGCGCAAGCGCUUGCAAGAACCAACCAACAUCCUGUUUACGGUUAAUAUAUUUUGUUUAAUUAGUUGUUUACAAUUAAUUAAUAAUCAUAAUUUAUUAAGUAGCGUAGUGAAUAUUAUAUUAUGCAUGAAUUAAGUGAAUCGAUGGAAGAAGAAGAAAGAGUACUAACUCCCAAGGGACAUCGCCCACGAGCAUCCAAUCACCAUCCCUGUCUUCAUAAGUUGGAACAUAAUCAGAACUGUUGAGCAGAUCCAUCAGUUUGCUCUCAUUCAUGAAAUCCAUUAAUCCUUGAGAUCCACAGUUACCUUAAAAAAACAUGAGAUAUAUAUAUUAAGGUUUACAUACAUAUUAUGGCAUGCUUAAGCGUAAAUUAAAUAAGUUAUGUUCAAACGUACCUACGUACGUGUCCUGCACAAAUUUUGUUAUAAAGUGGUGAAAUUUAGUUUGUGAGAAAUCUAGCUAGAUGUCUAAUUGGUUAAUGUGUUUACGUACGUACCAAUGGUGAAGGAAUUGAACAUCUUGCCUAGGGCAUCAGAAAGUUCUUGGUAACUCUUGUACAUCUUGAGAUCGACUUUGCGGAGAUAUGGUGCACCGUCCAAGCUCACCUUCACUAAGGC